RNAcentral lists this ribosomal RNA (497 nucleotides) under uncultured bacterium. Its description in RNAcentral is "partial 16S ribosomal RNA". It matches the Rfam family "Bacterial small subunit ribosomal RNA", at positions 28 to 507 of the family's 1533-position model. The record is from RNAcentral.
GAUGAACGCUGGCGGCGUGCCUAAUACAUGCAAGUCGAGCGAACGGACGAGAAGCUUGCUUCUCUGAUGUUAGCGGCGGACGGGUGAGUAACACGUGGAUAACCUACAUAUAAGACUGGGAUAACUUCGGGAAACCGUAGCUAAUACCGGUUAAUAUUUUGAACCGCAUGGUUCAAAAGUGAAAGACUGUCUUGCUGUCACUUAUAGAUGGAUCCGCGCUGCAUUAGCUAGUUGGUAAGGUAACGGCUUACCAAGGCAACGAUGCAUAGCCGACCUGAGAGGGUGAUCGGCCAAACGGGAACUGAGACACGGUCCAGACUCCUACGGGAGGAAGCAGUAGGGAAGCGUCCGAAAUGGGCGAAAGCCUGACGGAGCAACGCCGAGUGAGUGAUGAAGGUCUUCGGAUCGUAAAACUCUGUUAUUAGGGAAGAACAUAUGUGUAAGUAACUGUGCACAUCUUGACGGUACCUAAUCAGAAAGCCACGGCUAACUACGUG